RNA transcript from Amaranthus tricolor (Joseph's coat), 2982 nucleotides. RefSeq lists it as uncharacterized. The record is from RefSeq and is a predicted model, not a curated record. The transcript is spliced from 7 exons. Lineage: Eukaryota; Viridiplantae; Streptophyta; Magnoliopsida; Caryophyllales; Amaranthaceae.
AAUGCUCAUGGGAGAGCCGUCUUUUCCUCCUUCCCCUUCUUCUCCCUCUUCUCCUUCUUUCUCUCUGAUCUUCUCCCUUGCGCCACCAGCGAGCAACAGCUGGGCUACACCAGCCGCUACACGGCCCACAGAACACCACCAUCAGCACCCCACCUUCCCUCCUCACUCGCAGUGAACAGCCGGCAGCCAACUCACGAGCAACCGCCAGCUGCUGGCCGAUUUUUAGGCCUAUUUCCAGCCGGUUCUGGGCUUUGGCACCACCUCCACGAGGUGCCCAUUUUGUAAAAGGAAAGUAGAGCCUUAGUUGGGUGAUUUUGUGACUUUUGAUCGUGCAGUAACGCUUACAGGUACGUAUACGCAGUAACUAACCCUUAUAUGCAAUUUGCUUUAAGACAUUAUUGUUUAUUGUGAUAAUAUACAUUGCAUGGAAACUAUGAGAUACUUUUGAGUACGCUUUACAUGAAGAGCUAUCGACUAUGAAAUCCUUGCGCUUAGAAUAGUUUAGAGAAUGAGAGUUAAUACAGGGCGAGAACUACCCCUUAUUUAAGAAUUAGAUUAUGCCUAAUUGGAGUUAGAAUGACUCCUUUAUAGGUGAAUUUCAUAUUCUAUUGAGUGGCUCAGUGGGUUUUGGUGCGCUGCUAUCCCAGGGCGCUCAUUAAUAAUUGAGAGUGGAAGUUAUUCCCAUCUGAUAAGGUACUAGAUUAUGAUUAGCUGGCGUGACUUAACUGGAUUAUGUCCGGUUGUUUUAUUAGUCCCCUAGGUGAGGUUCGACGGGACCACCGUAAGGGGGGUAUGAGCAUGCUUGGGUCAUUGGGCGCCGGGAGGCCGAUAACGCCCCUUGACCGAGGUGUUACCAUGCGGGCCUUGCAAACCCCAAUAUGGUGGCCUCUUCACUGGUUUAGUACCCCAGUGUGUUAGUUUUUUCCGAAGGUAGGACCCGAGAGGGUCAGUUGGAGGGGGGCUUGAGCUCAUACUUUGCCAAUGGGCGCCGGGAGGUUGAUAACGCCCUUGGGCGUGUCACUAUGCCAGGAAGUAGAAAAAAAGAUCCACUGAUAAAAAACUAUUCAGUGAUAGAAAGUUUAUUCAUUAAUCGAAAGUUAUUUAAUGAUAGAAGGUUCAUCCUUUGGUAGAAAGCUUACGCGUUGAUAGAACGUUUACUCUUUGAUAGAAUAUUUACUCUUUGAUAGAACAUCUACUUAUUGAUAGAAUAGUUUAUACUAGUGAGAAGUGUGCCUAAAUUAAGUUAUCUCAAGGGUAUUACAGACUAUGAUCACACUUACCAAAAGAUAGACAAGCUCUAUAAGGUCAUGUGUUAGGCAUUCUGUUAAUGCAUUGGUCGAGUAGAGCUAUACGUGGUUUGCAAGAGUUUAUGUUUGAAAAAGAGGAGCGUGAAGACCUGCAUUCUACUCAAGAACACAUGGUUCGAGUUGGAAAGCACGUAAUGAAAUUAAGAAGUAUAAGUGGCCGAUAAACGGUUACUAUUCGUGCUCGCGUCUUAUGAAAGCAUCUUAUGUUGUUUUAUAAUAUAAUGUUAUCUAGUAGGUGGUCUUAUUAUUUUGAUGCUAGUUACUGACGUGUACGUGUUUGUGUUUAUGUUUGAUUAUUGAUGACUUUCUAUCGCUGUCCUGCUAUGACACAUUGGCCUUUGGUCGAAUGUCGAGCAGCAGGAGGAUCACAGACAGGCGUAACAGGAGCAAUGUCAGCAUCUAUGGCGGUGUUCAAUUCCUUCCCCCUUUUCAGCCCUAUUUCUUACCAGCAAGGUGUUUCACAUCAUUUAAAUGGAAGAAGCAGCAUUAUCACUCAUAAAGUCGGAUUUUCAGUUUCAAAUGCUAGACCGAAUUUCUCUUGCUCUGUAAGCAUGGCAGACGGACAGUCUAAUAAUAAUGGAAAAUUAAAGCUGAAUCAGAUAAUGGACAAAGCCAGAGAAAUUUGGAAUGGCCUUCCGGAACCAGUCAAGAGCUUUCCUUGGAACAGAGUGCUUGAUAAUUUCAUCCAACUUAUUCUUGACGUUGUAGUUGCAGUCAUCAAAUUCCUUAGUGUGCCUAUUCUAGCGAUUUCCUCCCUCAGCGAAAUGUCCUACUGUGCACGUGAAAGGAAACUAUUUUUUGUUCCUGUUCCAUUUGCUCUUGGGUUUUCUGUUGCUGGAAUUUUGAAAGAUACAGCACAGGAAUUUUCUCCUCUUCUAAAGGAUGCUGAAGUUCCGUGGCAUUUGAUUUUAAUUGCGGUUUUCCUUGCUCUUCUCAAGUUACUUGGACCAUAUUAUCCAUAUUGGGGCCGGAUUUUUAUUCCUCAUUUUGCAAAUGGAGGGCUCUUAAGGGUUAUAGUUAUGAUGUAUUUCUGGUACCAAAAGCCAAAAAAGAGUCAAUUAUUGCAGAAUGUCAAGAGCUCAGAGCAAAAUUGAGUUUACUACACAAUAGGUUUGUUGUUUAUAUAUAGCAUGUUUCUUACCGCGCGCCUCAGGCCCUCGCCCAUUCUCGUCAUAGUAUAGAACGAAAAAUCGAGAGGAAAAAACAAACACUAUGAAAUGCUGUUUUGGUGGUUAAAUCCCUCCUUUUCUUGUCGAAGAUGAUGUGGAACAGUGGAAUCGACUGUAACUUCCUGCAAUUUGGAAUCUCCCCAACUCUAUAAAAAAGUGAAAAGCUUGCAACCGAACAUACGUUGAUCAAGAUCAAUUUUUAAGUGAAUGUUAAUGUAGUUGUUCGAUUGCCAUGGAAAUUAUGAACAUAAUCUUGCUUGUCGUGGUGCUCUAGAACGCAGGUGACAGGACGAUGGACAGCCAGUCGCUAAAUAGAGGUUGCGUUUUGGAAUUCUUCCUCCAGACUACAUUCAAGUCUCCUGUAUCAGUUACUUCUCUUUUCUUUGGUUUUGAGGAUGCAUUUUUGUAGAUGAAGUACAAGAGAAUAUGUUUAUGUUAUGUAAGACAUCCAAGAGAAAGAACAAUGACAGAUUCAAACCAUGUUUGGAAUUUUUACUUCACCAUUA